GAGGCAAUAACAGGUCUGUGAUGCCCUUAGAUGUUCUGGGCCGCACGCGCGCUACACUGCUGGGUUCAACGAGUCCGAACCGUACUUGGCUGAAAGGCCUGGUUAAUCUUUUGAAAUCCCAGCGUGCUUGGGCUUGCCUCUUGGAACUAGAGGCACCAACGAGGAAUUCCUAGUAGACGCAAGUCAUCAACUUGCAUCGAUUACGUCCCUGCCCUUUGUACACACCGCCCGUCGCUCCUACUGAUUGAGUGCUCCGGUGAAAUGUCGGGAGAUUGCUCCGCCGAUCAGCAAUGGUCGCGGAGUGGUCGAACUUCAUUAAAUUUGGGCUCUUAGAAGAAGGAGAAGUCGUAACAAGGUUUCCGUAGGCGUCGUCGUCGGCGCCGCCUACAGGAGCUGGUCCUUCCAGCACGGUCAUCGCCCGGGAAGCCUUAGCAGCCGGAAACGGUGCUGAACGCGACUUUGUAAAAAACAACGAGUCAGCUUGAAUGCUAGUGUGGCGCGCGCCAUGCGACACUGUUAAAUUGCGGGGACCCCCUGAAGCUUUGUCCUACCAAGUGCUUGUGCGCGAAAGCGCCAGCAUGGCCGAGCCAAUCGCCCUGGGUAUGGUAACAACGGACAAGGAUGUUAUAUAUGGGUGAUCCGCAGCCAAGUCCUACGUCGAAUCGCGCAUGUUCGAUAUGGAACGGGUUCACAGACUAGAUAGCAGUGGGUGGCACACACACGUGUGUCGCUUAAGAUAUAGUCGGUCUCGUGCCGAAACGCACGGGGAGGUGAUCGACGCUCUUGCGUGUCGCUGUAUUCGACAACUGCAAGUGUGCGUCACAUGCACAUAUACGUUCCGUAGGUGAACCUGCGGAAGGAUCAUUAACACAGUGGGCGGCCCUAGCGCUGCAUCCCAUAUCCAACCCCAUGUGAACCGGUGACGUGCGGCGACUCCAGCUGCGUGUUUCAUUUUCGAACCAUCCUAGCCGAAACACGACUAAAGUUCCAUACAUACAUACAUGUUACAACUCUUAGCAAUGGAUAUCUUGGUUCUCACAACGAUGAAGAACGCAGCGAACUGCGAUACGUAGUGCGAAUUGCAGAAUUCAGUGAAUCAUCAAAUCUUUGAACGCAAGUUGCGCUUCCGAGAUACCCUUGGAAGCAUGCCUCUUUGAGUGUCGGUUUCUGUUCGUUUGCGCGCCCGCGCGCGCAAGACAAUGAGCUUUGCUGCGGCAUAGCUUGAACGAAGCGACCCGGGAUCGUGCGCGCAUUGCUGAUACCCUCGAGAAUGCCGGAGCGGUCCCCGCCGAUCUGCGCGCAAUCGCAGAUCGACACACACACAUCAAAGAUCUCAAAUGAGGUAGGAUUACCCGCUGAAUUUAAGCAUAUCAAUAAGCGGAGGA
RNAcentral lists this ribosomal RNA (1385 nucleotides) under Plasmodiophora brassicae. RNAcentral describes it as "partial ribosomal RNA". The stretch from base 1 to 403 matches the Rfam family "Eukaryotic small subunit ribosomal RNA", at positions 1447 to 1831 of the family's 1831-position model. The record is from RNAcentral. Lineage: Eukaryota; Endomyxa; Phytomyxea; Plasmodiophorida; Plasmodiophoridae.